Molecule: long non-coding RNA, 2077 nt
Filed under: Homo sapiens (human)
Lineage: Eukaryota; Metazoa; Chordata; Mammalia; Primates; Hominidae
Description: HSALNT0219081
Source: RNAcentral
GCACUAGGUGCUGCGCGUGAGGCCAGGGCUCCCUGGGUCUCUCCCGCCGACAGCCUGUGAUCUUACUGCGUCCCCGCGCGCGUGUUGCCCCCGCGCCCGCUUCUUGAACACUUCAGGCCAGGUUCCAAAGUCCCCUGCCAGGCAGAGCCCAGAGCAAACGGCGUCCUCACGGAGGCCUCUCCAGGCCCCAGCCCACCCCUCUCAGAGACGCCUCGACAGCUUCAACGGGGCCCCACUUCCCCUCGCCAAGACAUGCGCUCCAGAGAUUCCUUAAGCGCUGAGGAGGCCGGGGCACGAGGCUCGGAGCUAGCCCUGAAGGCGACAACUAAAAUACCACCCAGGGCGCACUGUGCAUUCCCCCUCCCAGACUCUAAUUCCAGCACAGAGGCGGAUCCUUGCAUUUCUGUGGACCCGCAGGAAAGUCUGUAAAGGAACCGCGCGCUUGGCUGGGUGCCAGGUCUGGAGUGACUGAAUGGAUGGAACCUGGCCUUCCCUCCCCUGAGCUUCCCGCGCAGCUGGACAGACGCGGCGCACGCGCAGGAGGUCACUGGGCAACACCUGGGGCAAAUGAAACAACUUCCCCCGCACCAGCCACCAAUGAGCGGCUGCGAGUUCCCAACCGUGUGUCCACGCCCCUCAUCCGCAGUUAUCAAAAUCUGACAACUCAUCCUUCUUUAUCUGCCUUGUUGUGAUUGGUUUUCUUUUUUCUUUUCUUUUUUUUUUUUUUUUUUGGACAUGGAGUUUCGCUCUUAUUGUCCAGGCCGGAGCGCAAUGGCGCGAUCUCCGCUCACCGCAAUCUCCGCCUCCCAGGUUCAAGCGAUUAUCCUGCCUCAGCCUCCUGAGUAGCUGGGAUUACAGGCCUGCGCCACGACGCCCGGCUAAUUUUGUAUUUUUAGUAGAGACGGCGUUUCUCCAUUUUGGUCAGGCUGGUGGCGAACUCCCGACCUCAGGUGAUCCACCCGCCUUGGCCUCCCAAAGAGCUGGGAUUACAGGCGUGAGCCACCGCAUCCGGCCUGUGAUUGGUUUUCUAGAAAAUAAAGCAAAACAAAAACAGCCUGUAGGUAGCCUUCCCUCCCAUGGGAGGGUAAUAAUCUUCACUUUUUAAGAGGGGCCUUUAUAGGGGAUGCUGCCGUUCCAACACUUUGACAGACGUGGAGAGAGCUAUAAGGGAAGCAGGAAGUUGUAAUCCUAAACGUUCCUUAACUGGUCUAAUUUAUUAUUCUGUAGUUCCUACCCCUGCCCUCUUACCCACUGACCUAACAAGUUAGCCAGAGAGAUAAAACACAUUCAUGCUUAACAAAGGAUGUGUUAAAACUGACGAAAGGGCCGGGCGCGGUGGCUCACGCUGCUAAUCCCAGAACUUUGGGAGGCCGAGGCGGGCGGAUCACGAGGUCAGGAAAUCGAGACCAUCCUGGCUUAACACAGUGAAACCCCGUCUCUACUAAAAGUACAAAAAAUUAGCCGGGCGUGGUGGGGGCCGCCUGUAGUUCCAGCUACUCGGGAGGCUGAGGCAGGAGAAUGGCGUGAACCUGGGAGGCGGAGCUUGCAGUGAGCCGAGAUUGGUUGGGCCACUGCACUCCAGCCUGGGGCAGAGCAAUACUUCGUCUCAAAAAAAAAAAAAAAAAAAAAAACUAACAAAAGAUUGAUGCCCAGGAGCUCCUACAACUCAGUGAGAAAAAGAUGAACAAUGGAAAAAACAGGGGUAACUGACUUGAAUAGGCCCUUCACAAAAGAGGAAAUAGAAAUGACCAAUAAACAUAUAACAUGAUGCCUAGUAUAUCAUUAGAAAUACAGGAAAUACAAAUUAAAGUCAAUUUUACUUUUUUUCAUUUUAACCAAAUUUAUUUAAACCCCAAGACUUUGUAGACACAGUGGCUCACGCCUGUAAUCUAAGCACUUUGGGAGGCCAAGGUGGGAGGAUCGCUUGAGCCCAGAAGGUUGAGGCUGCAGUGAGCCAUGAUUUGGUUUAUUUUUAAGUAAUUUAUCCCUACUUAAAGACAGAUUACCCUACAUGUGAAAGCUAUGUACAAAAAUCAUCCACUGAUUAGAAGGAUUUUUUUAAGUUAUACAAUUGUCC